UCACGCACCUAUUUCAUCUUCCCCAAAUCCCCCUUUCCUCUCACCUGCCUGCCUGCCUUGAUGCACCCCACCUUGAUUCCUGUUCACCGGGAUCCCAACCCACCUCGUCCCGAGCUCGGCGCCAGCCGCUGGCAGAUUUGAUCACUUAUACCGUCCCACUCCGUGAGGCUACUUUGGGCGACCUUGUCGGCGUGCCACCAGAUUUUGGCGUCCAUGGAUGACAACUUGCUCCCUGGGACUCCGCGGGGCUUCCCUGCCUCCCGUCCGUCGGAGAACCAUACAUGAGUCGGAUAAUGGAAGUUCUAUGCUAGCUUUGGAGCUAAUGGGCGCAACUGCAGACAUAUAUGGAUGCGACCGUUGCAUGCAGCACUAAGUGUGAUGGCAGCUGGAACCACCCUGCAAUGAGGAUAAACGCAAGCGAGGAAAACGAGUCUACAGUCUAUAUAGAAACAUAUGACAAGAACUUAGGAUAUAUGACAGGAACUUAGGAAGCAUUGUACUCAUUAUUUGUAACUUGAAGGAAAAGAAAUGUGUAUCAUGUCUGAAACUAAUUGUAUGAAUGAACAAAGCAACAAGUAAAGUUAUGUUAGAUUA
Molecule: long non-coding RNA, 594 nt
Organism: Triticum aestivum (bread wheat)
Lineage: Eukaryota; Viridiplantae; Streptophyta; Magnoliopsida; Poales; Poaceae
Exons: 2
Source: RefSeq, a predicted model, not a curated record